This 313-nucleotide ribosomal RNA is filed under the name uncultured bacterium. Its description in RNAcentral is "bacterial SSU rRNA". It matches the Rfam family "Bacterial small subunit ribosomal RNA", at positions 32 to 334 of the family's 1533-position model. The record is from RNAcentral.
GAUAAAACGCUGACAGAAUGCUUAACACAUGCAAGUCGAUGAUGAGAAGCUAAGCCUAGCUUAGAAGAAGUCAUGGCGGACGGGUGAGUAACGUGUAAAGAACUUGCCCUCUAGACUGGGAUAACAGAUAGAAAUGUCUGAUAAUACCGGAUAUUAUUGCUACAUGGCAUCAUGUAGGAAUGAAAGGAUAAGAUUGCUAGAGGAGAGCUUUGCAUCCUAUUAGCUAGUUGGUAAGGUAGCGGCUUACCAAGGCGAUGAUAGGUAGCCGGCCUGAGAGGGUGGACGGCCACAAGGGGACUGAGACACGGUCCAA